AGUGGGUGGGGAUUGGAAGUGGACACACAGCAGCUGUGGUGUUUCCGUGUUUCCGAGUUGCUUCCCAGUAGUUCCUCUCAGUUCCAUUUCCAGUUGUUUCCAAGCCAUUAAAUUCUUUCCAGGCGAGAUAAGGGGCCCGCCCAUCCCACCCAGGGUGUGUCACGUGUAGGGGGAGGUUCAGACGGACAGAAGCAGGGAGAGCCUGGAAGGGGGACGGAAUGAAGACGGAGCCCUGUGACCCUGGAGGCAUCUCUCAAUCAUCCCAGCCCCGCUGAACCGAUGUAUGGUCACCAUAGGUAUACUUGGCCCAGAGAGAGGCCAGGAGACCCUGGAGAGGAGCAAGAGCUGGAAGGACAGCUCUGAGGAACAGCCAUGGGAAGACUGAAGACUUCGGGCAGAAACAAAUGAAGGGGGUUCUGGAAGGACUUGUUUGAGAAGGAAGGGUGGAUGAUCUGGAUUUCUGAAACUUCUUUCUGCAUCCAGUUACCAUGUAGAUUCAGUUGGAAGAAAUUGCCAAGUAUAAGUCACAGGGUCAACACUCCACUAUUGAGAUUUGGAGGCGGGAGGUGGUGAGAAAGGGGGACGUGGAGAGAGAAGACAGCCUGGGAUGAAACAUGGGAGAACUAAGAAGCUGAGGCUGAAAAGGGGGCAAGAGAGCCACAGGAGGAAGGGUUUGGACUUCCUCUGCCUGAAGCCAUGGGUGUGGGGAAAAGGGAGGAGGGAGGACAUUUCUAUCCCGUGACAAAAGAAAGUCACAGAAUUAUUUUGUUCUCUGCUCUGGGGCGGGUGGGCGCCCGUAUUUACCAGAGGGACUGAGGUCGCUGUAGCAACCACACAUCUGGGCCCCGGAAUCCAGAUGUGCUGUAUCCAGAAGCCAUAGCAGAACGAUGAGGCAAACGUGUCAGGCUCCCCAGUCCCGGCCCCGCAGCUGGGAAGAGGACAGAGGACUGGAGCGGGGAGGUGAAGGGAGAAGGGGGGAGGAAGGAGGAGAGGGCUGAGGUGGGGAGAAGAGAGGAAGUCGUGGAAGGGGACAAGGAAUGUGGACAAAGGAGUGGAGAGGGCAAUGGAGGGGGUGGUGUGACAAGGGAGGACGUGUCCAGGGUCAGCAGAGGGAGGGGAUGAGAAGACAACGAAAAAAGAAAGGGAGCAGAUAGUGAGGCCGAGGGGAAGGAAGGGGAAAUACAAAAACAGCGAGAAACAACAGAUGAACAGACUAAAGAGUCAGAAAGAGAAGGCGGGGACUCGUGCUGGGUAGAGGGCAAAGCGAUGCAGGAAAGAAGCCUAGAGAAAAGAGAAGAGGGAGAGAGAGUGCGUCAGGGGUGGUAAGAGGAACAAAAGGCGGAUUCUGAGGAAGGAAAGCAGAACAGAAAGAUAAAGAGGGCCUGAGACAGGAAGGAGCCAACAGGAGGCACUAAGUUACAGUGGCCAGCAUGCUGAGAUGACCAAACGGGGGCUGUGGCUGGACACCCACGUGGGCCUGGAGGGCGGCAGCCCAGACAGACCUGCCUUCACCCCUGCAGCCGACUGACCUCCUCUUCACACCCCUCUCGGGCCUUCCCACCACCCCACUCCCUGGUCCAAAAGAGCCUGAUUCCUGCCUGGUUCACACCCAAGUGCCAGCUGUCCCUAGCUGCCACUUCGCAGGAGGAGCUGCAGGCCCCACCCGAGAGCACCAGGCUGAUGCCAGUACUUCAAACACUUUCCCGAGCAGUGGGGGCGGGUGGGGCAGGAAAGAGAAAAAGCAAUGGGACAAUGAAACAGUGAUGGACCCAGAUGGGUUAAAAGUGGAACAGAGGAGAAAAGGACAGGUAAAUGGAGAGAGAAAGGAGCAAGGGAUGAGGGGAGGGUGUGCCCACUAUGGACCAGGCACUGUGAACAUCAUCUUUUAUCCUCACAUCAACCCUGAGACGUGGGUAGGAGUAGCCCAUUUCACAGAUGAGGAAACUAAGGCUCAGAGUGUUUAAGUUACCUCUUAAGGAGGCCCACUAAUAAAAGGCAAAGCAGGGACUCCCACUCCCACUCAGGUGGUCUGCCUCCAAACUCCUUGUUCUCCUUGCACUCACCGCCUGGAUGAGGCUGGAUAAGGCUCGAGGGACGUUGGGACAGGAAGUGCUGAUGGAGGAGCCAGGACUGCCCUCUGGAAGGAGGUGAGGCCUAGUUCCUGGGGGCCCUGGUUCCAGGUUGCCGUAGUUACUUGGUCUGUUUUCACCCCAAACACAGUAAUGGGGAAGGGGGAGAGCCUGGCUGGACACGUGAGGUUCUUCCCCCGUUUCAGGCCUGGGCUUGUGGCCCAGGCGGCCCCUGUCCAGUGAUCUGGGCGUUGAGCCCAGGCCUAGCCCACACCCUCCCACUGACCCAGGACACUCCUGCAGGGCCAGGCCGGAGGUGCUGCCGGACAGGAGCUGCUGACAGGGGACCCCCCCAGGUUGAAUGAGACUUGGCCCCCCACCCUUCAUCCUGUCCCCCUUCCUCCUAAUUAGAAAGUACAGCCUUUCCUGCUGGCCCCUCACUCAUCCCUUAUUUUCAACUGGGUUCUCAAUCUCAGUUGCCUCCAGUUUAGGGCUAAGAAGAUGUUCUUCAACAUCCCCCUUCUCUCCAAACACUGCCCCCUGUCCCCUGUGGCUCCUCCUCUCUGGGCUCACAGCCCUUGGCCCCAGCUCCACUGUUUGUUCGAGCUGCUCAUCCUGGAAAGCAAGCGGGGGAGAACCUGCUAGAGGGCCGGGGACCCAGGGAGGCUGCUCACCCUAAAGGGCGUGGGGCCCCCUGUCCUUCCUGUUUACUCAGACACAUUCCAGGAUCUGUAUCCUCUGGCUGGUCACGCCAUGGGACAUCACUCCCCCGCUCCCCCGUUAGACAGCAGACGUCCAGAGUUGCAGGGGUGGGGUAAGGGGAUGACUUGAGGUCUGCGAUCGCACACCCUCCCCACCCCAGAGCCAGCUAUGUCUUCAGUGCUUGGUUCUGACAUACGGGCCCUACAGAAGCCACCUUCCCCCAAAUUCCCUGUCAUGAGCCAUCGUUCCUUCAACUCCCUCCAAGUUGUUUAUUUAAUAAUAAAAAAAGAAGA
Camelus dromedarius (Arabian camel) is the source of this 3064-nucleotide long non-coding RNA. RefSeq lists it as uncharacterized. The record is from RefSeq and is a predicted model, not a curated record. NCBI's taxonomy places the organism in Eukaryota, Metazoa, Chordata, Mammalia, Artiodactyla, Camelidae. The transcript is spliced from 3 exons.